RNAcentral lists this ribosomal RNA (706 nucleotides) under uncultured Bacteroidales bacterium. Its description in RNAcentral is "bacterial SSU rRNA". It matches the Rfam family "Bacterial small subunit ribosomal RNA", at positions 42 to 737 of the family's 1533-position model. The record is from RNAcentral. Lineage: Bacteria; Pseudomonadati; Bacteroidota; Bacteroidia; Bacteroidales.
ACAGGCUUAACACAUGCAAGUCGAGGGGCAGCAUGGUCUUAGCUUGCUAAGGCUGAUGGCGACCGGCGCACGGGUGAGUAACACGUAUCCAACCUGCCGUCUACUCUUGGACAGCCUUCUGAAAGGAAGAUUAAUACAAGAUGGCAUCAUGAGUCCGCAUGUUCACAUGAUUAAAGGUAUUCCGGUAGACGAUGGGGAUGCGUUCCAUUAGAUAGUAGGCGGGGUAACGGCCCACCUAGUCUUCGAUGGAUAGGGGUUCUGAGAGGAAGGUCCCCCACAUUGGAACUGAGACACGGUCCAAACUCCUACGGGAGGCAGCAGUGAGGAAUAUUGGUCAAUGGGCGAGAGCCUGAACCAGCCAAGUAGCGUGAAGGAUGACUGCCCUAUGGGUUGUAAACUUCUUUUAUAAAGGAAUAAAGUCGGGUAUGCAUACCCGUUUGCAUGUACUUUAUGAAUAAGGAUCGGCUAACUCCGUGCCAGCAGCCGCGGUAAUACGGAGGAUCCGAGCGUUAUCCGGAUUUAUUGGGUUUAAAGGGAGCGUAGAUGGAUGUUUAAGUCAGUUGUGAAAGUUUGCGGCUCAACCGUAAAAUUGCAGUUGAUACUGGAUAUCUUGAGUGCAGUUGAGGCAGGCGGAAUUCGUGGUGUAGCGGUGAAAUGCUUAGAUAUCACGAAGAACUCCGAUUGCGAAGGCAGCCUGCUAAGCUGC